GACGAACGCUGGCGGCGUGCUUAACACAUGCAAGUCGAACGGAAAGGCCUGCUUUCCCUUGUGGAUUGCGGGUACUCGCGUGGCGAACGGGUGAGUAACACGUGAGUGAUCUGCCCCCAACUUGGGUAUAAGCCUGGGAAACUGGGUCUAAUUCCCGAUAGGACUGCAGGGUGGUGCCUGUGGUGGAAAACGAUUUUCUAGUGGUUGGGGAUGAGCUCGCGGCCUAUCAGCUUGUUGGUGGGGUAAUGGCCUACCAAGGCGGCGACGGGUAGCCGGCCUGAGAGGGUGGACGGCCACAUUGGGACUGAGAUACGGCCCAGACUCCUACGGGAGGCAGCAGUGGGGAAUAGUGCACAAUGGGCGGAAGCCUGAUGCAGCGACGCCGCGUGGGGGAUGACGGCCUUCGGGUGGUAAACUCCUUUCGACCGCGAGGAAGCCACCUGGUUGGAAGGGUGGUGACGGUAGUGGUAGAAGAAGCACCGGCUAACUACGUG
This 494-nucleotide ribosomal RNA is filed under the name uncultured bacterium. RNAcentral describes it as "partial 16S ribosomal RNA". It matches the Rfam family "Bacterial small subunit ribosomal RNA", at positions 28 to 507 of the family's 1533-position model. The record is from RNAcentral.